CCCUCUCAACCAAAUUAAUUACAACAACAAAGUUUCCCCCAAUUUAUUCCCAAACAAUAAUUGGCAUAUUCAUAGUGAGUUAUCAUAAAACAAGCAACUCAACCAGUUCAACAAUUAAUUACAUAACUAAAACAGCGUAUCAGUACCAAACACAACAUAGUUAAACGACAUACAAUCACUCUAAAAAUUUUAUCUAGCUCCC
Molecule: long non-coding RNA, 202 nt
Filed under: Vigna radiata
Lineage: Eukaryota; Viridiplantae; Streptophyta; Magnoliopsida; Fabales; Fabaceae
Description: long non-coding RNA (VRAD_LNC015508)
Source: RNAcentral